CCUUUUUGUUCCUUCCAGGUCUCAGCUGACCGGUCAGGGCCCAUCCUCACCGACAGGCACAUAUCUACCCCGUGCACUGACUCACACGCCAAUCUCUUCUAGAAACCUUCAGAGACACACCCAGAGAGAACGGUCUACCAACCAUCUGAACGUCCCUUAGUCCAGUGAAGGUGACACUAGAAUUAUCCAGGACAGAGUGUGUCUGAAUCUUGGAAGGGUUGGUUGCCGCCUUUGGAGCCCAGGGAGGCCACAGUGGACUGCCGAGUGUUGAGUCACCGGGACAAGGUGGCUCUUCUGGGGAGAGAGCUGCCGUAGGAGCAGUGCGUCACAGAACUGGUAAUUCGCUGGAAACGUGCAUCAUCCCAGUGCUUGUCCUCGACGCAGUGCCUCCCUCCAGCGAGCAUCAGAAGCCUGGGUGCAAACUUUGCAAUUUGAUAUGCAGAAUAUCAGGAGAAGGUGCGUCAAAGGUCAAGGUCUAACACCACUCAUGACUUCAUUGUGUCCCUAAGGCCUUCUUAAGGGAAGCGGGCCACUUCACUUCUUGUCCUGAGCGUAGGGUGGUGAAGAACGCUGGUGAGGGACAGGGGACGUU
RNAcentral lists this long non-coding RNA (592 nucleotides) under Ictidomys tridecemlineatus (thirteen-lined ground squirrel). Its description in RNAcentral is "lncRNA (ENSSTOG00000034705.1)". Lineage: Eukaryota; Metazoa; Chordata; Mammalia; Rodentia; Sciuridae. The record is from RNAcentral.